AAAUUGACGUUCACCAUUCACCACUGUUCGUUUCAUAGACAAAGCACAUUGUCUAUGGUUCGUUUGUUGUAGUGUAACGAGUAAAGUAAUUGCUGAACCUUUGUUGAAUUUUGAAGUUUGUGUAAAGACAUUAGCUAUAGAUACUGGAUUGAUACAAUACAAAGACAUAGUUUGUGAAUUGUGUGUGUGUUUUCAUAGCUGUGAUUUAAAGAUGAGUGGUGGUAACACAUGUACCAUAGUUACAUGCAAAAGCAAUUCCAGAAUUUCUGAUUCAGGUGUACACAAAAUCUCCUUUUUUACAUUUCCUAAAGAUCCUAACAUUGUUAAAGAAUGGGUAAGAGUAUGUUGUCGUAAGGAUAAGUGGAACCCUAAAAAUAAGCGAAUAUGUAGCAAGCACUUCCUUUUAUCUGAUUAUGAAGAUGAACUUCAAGCCCGUUUACUGAAUUAUCAUCCAAAACACUUAAAAAAAGAUGCUAUCCCAACAUUAUUUCUUCCGUUUAGUGAUAAUGAAGCACUGGAGGUUUCUGAAAGUGCUCAUCGCAGGGUUUCAAGAGAAAAUAAAGACAAUGAUUUGUGACUCAGGGAGGUAUGCAUGAUCAUCUUUUCUCCGUUAAGUGGCCUAUAUAGGAUACAAAUUACUCUGCUUGGAAAAAAUCCUGGUUUUGUGUCGAAACAUUACAAUGUGGAAUCUUCCCCAAGGUUACAAGAGGAUCAAUUGUUAUUGGCAGAUGUCUUCAAACAGGCGAAUUAACGGAGAGAUCAAUUUUAGAUUAUGAGAGUACAACCUCAUCAUCAGUUAGCAGUACUUCCAAACAGAAUUUGAAAAGGACUGCUUAGCCUAUACACGGUCUCUGAUAAGUUUGGAAACGGUCGAUUUAUCAGUGUACAAGAUAUCGAAAUAUGUUUUAUACAAGAGUUUUGGGGUUCUUCAAUGUCUACUAGGCGGUAAUAAUUUUAAUUAUACAAGGUUGUUCAUAAAGGCAUGGCACACCCUGUAUAUUAUUCAAUAUUGCAAUUCUUCUCUAAAUUUUAACUUAUCGAUAAUGUACCAUAAUUCAAUCGUUUCAGGGUUAUCGAGUUUUGAAAAUAAACGCUAUUAUUUUAAAAGUCAUAAUAUAAUUGACCAAAAAACAAUAAUUAAUGAUUUCAAAUAAUCAUAACGAAAUUCGCAAACCCUGUAUAAUUAAAAUUACUACUGCCUACUAGACAUUAAAGAACCUCAAAUCUUUUGUAUAAAACUUUUUGAUACCUUGUAUAGUUUCCCCAAUAAUCGACUGUUUCCAGACUUAUCAGCGACCCUGUAUAGCAGGAUAUUUGGCCAAGAAGCACAACACGAACUAUCCGCACCUAGGACAAUAUGUAUCAGGCAGAAAUGGGAGGACAGUUACAUUCCUACAACGCAUACCUUCAUGGCUACAAAGUUUAUCUUUAGUAGGUCUUACCAAGCCAUCGCAAAUGUGAUUGGAACAAGAACAAAAAUGGACAAAUACUUUGAAAAAGUACAUAAAAGAGAUGUUGAGAAUAAAAGAGAUUUAAGAGAAACAGCAAAAUUUAUUGGAAAAAGAGUAGCAGAUGCGCCAAAGGAAUUUGUUCAUUUGUUUACUAAUUAAAGAAUUUCUAUACGUAUUAAAUUUUUAAAUUACAAGAAAGUUAUGAAUUAAAGAUAUUUUUCAUUGUG
Molecule: long non-coding RNA, 1678 nt
Organism: Photinus pyralis (common eastern firefly)
Lineage: Eukaryota; Metazoa; Arthropoda; Insecta; Coleoptera; Lampyridae
Exons: 3
Source: RefSeq, a predicted model, not a curated record